Molecule: ribosomal RNA, 407 nt
Filed under: uncultured bacterium
Lineage: Bacteria
Description: partial 16S ribosomal RNA
Rfam family: Bacterial small subunit ribosomal RNA
Source: RNAcentral
AUUGAACGCUGGCGGCAUGCCUAAUACAUGCAAGUCGAGCGGAGCGGCGGACGGGUGAGUAAUGACUAGGAAUCUGCCCGGUCGUGGGCGAUACAGCCAGGGAACGGACGCUAUGACCGCAUACUCUCAGAUGAGUCUAGGUCGGAUUAGCUAGAUGGUGGGGUAGUGGCCUACCAAGGCGACGAUCCAUACCUGGUCUGAGAGGAUGAUCAGUCACACGGGAACGGAGACACGGACCAGACUCCGACGUGAGGCAGCGGUGGGGAAUAUUCGACAAGGGGCGAUAGGCUGUACUAGCCAAGCCGCGUGUGUGAAGAAGGGCUUCGGAUCGUAAAGCACGUUAAUUUGGGAAGCGGUACCUACAGAAUAAGCACCGGCUAACUUCGUGCCAGCAGCCGCGGUAAUUC